CCUACGGGAGGCAGCAGUGGGGGAUAUUGCACAAUGGGGGCAACCCUGAUGCAGCGACGCCGCGUGAGCGAUGGAGUACUUCGGUAUGUAAAGCUCUGUCAGCAGGGAAGAGAAUGACGGUACCUGACCAAGAAGCCCCGGCUAAAUACGUGCCAGCAGCCGCGGUAAUACGUAUGGGGCAAGCGUUAGCCGGUUUUACUGGGUGUAAAGGGAGCGGAGGCGGCAGGGCAAGGCUGGUGCGUAAGCCCGGGGCUCAACCCCGGGACUGCAUUGGGAACUGCCCCGCUCGAGUGCCGGAGGGGCAGGCGGAAUGCCUGGUGUAGCGGUGAAAUGCGUAGAUAUCAGGAGGAACACCGGUGGCGAAGGCGGCCUGCUGGACUGCAACUGACGUUGAGGCCCGAAAGCGUGGGGAGCAAACAGGAUUAGAUACCCCGGUAGUC
This 440-nucleotide ribosomal RNA is filed under the name uncultured bacterium. RNAcentral's name for it is "partial 16S ribosomal RNA". It matches the Rfam family "Bacterial small subunit ribosomal RNA", at positions 338 to 795 of the family's 1533-position model. The record is from RNAcentral.